AACCGCCUCGGUAAGCCGACAUGAGAACGAAGUUGUAAGCGGCGGAGCCAAAUCCUCUGAACCCCCGUUUAACGACGCCGUUUUCAAGCACACGCCGGAGAAGCAGGAGAGGAGAUCGGAGUGGCAAUUGGGGACGGCGCAGGUAAACAGCUCCCGAGAUUCGUGGCUGCAGAGAUGGUGAAACGGGCGGGGAUAAACUGGAGAAUUGUGAUAAUAGAGAAGAGAAUGAGGAGAGCGGUGAGGAGAAGCUUCAGCUCCGGCGCACAGUUCCAGACCACCCCAACAAGCAUCUUCUUAUCACCGGCGCCACCGCCACCUUUCUCCUUAACGAUCAUUUCUCGACAAACUGAUCGAUUCGAUUCUUCUGGGCCUACCCCUUAGCAGAAAAUGAUGGUCCACAAACUGGGAUUGAAUGAAUAUAAUCGAGCAAACAAAUGCACUUUCCUCUACUGCAGCCUAGGAACACAACAUCACACAAGAAAACAAAAUCCACUACUGGAUCUUUCGCUGUUUCCUGUUUCUCUCUCUUAAUUAUAUAUGAAGGUAGGAGGUGUUGAUUGAUUA
Ipomoea nil (Japanese morning glory) is the source of this 564-nucleotide long non-coding RNA. RefSeq lists it as uncharacterized. The record is from RefSeq and is a predicted model, not a curated record. The transcript is spliced from 2 exons. Lineage: Eukaryota; Viridiplantae; Streptophyta; Magnoliopsida; Solanales; Convolvulaceae.